GCUAAAUUCAAAGUUGUGUUGCGUCACUGGGGAGGACUCCUCGGUACAGUUCAGCUGUGAUUACACUCCUCCUCCUCUUACACAGAACUCUGACAACCUCAGUACUCACUGAAGCCACUGGACAUUACCUCGCUCUUCGGUACAUAGAUGAGAUAUCCAAACAGACAGGUUUUCUGAUUCCAAAGCCAUAUUGAUAUUGGAUGUAUGCAUGUUGUGGUACUAUCUUUAGAGGAUGGUGCAUGUCACUCCUGUUGUGCACUGAUGAGAGGACCAGGCUUCCCAAUGGAUGGAAUGGUGCGUGUGUGGCUGCUGAUAGGGUUCAUCCAGGUGGUCAGUUUCUCUUGUGUCCAGUGCGCCGAGUUGGCGGUCGUGGUUGUUGAGGUUAUGUUUGGCCGCUUCCCCUCUGGUCCAGACUGCUACACUAUCUCCUACAGAACGGCACACAACCUCACGGUGUGGCUUGAUCCUAUUGGCCGCUCUUGAGUGUUCACCUGACUGCAGGCUGCUGCUGCAAUUGGCUGAGGAGCCAGUAGGAAGUGACAUCACAUUGAACGCUAUAAAAAAAAACGCCACACUGGAGACUAAGACCUUUCAUAUUGCUCCUGUCCCCCUCUCCUCUCUCCGUGUCGAGGUGACCACCACCAGUGCUUUGCUGUCCUGCACCCUACAGAACCAACAGACUCUCACUGCCCUCACUCUUCACUAUCAUGCACACCAAACACACACACACUGAACACACACACACUGACCACACACACAACUCCUCGUACGCAGUGAGAGGUCUGCAGCCUGGAGCACACUACAGCAUCACAGCAGAGUUGACCACGCCCUUCACACACCUCAACAUCAGCCUCACCCAGAGACUACACACCACCAUGGAGACAGCCCAAUGUCCUAUUGGUUGGCUGGCAAGCGGAAGGAGCUACUAUAGUGUGAGUAGGUAGAGCCUGUCAUGGGCCGACGCCCAUGUAUGGGCGUGGCUUCAGGAGGUCACCUGAUAGACGUUAAAACAGAGACAGACCUCCUCCUCCUCUCCUCUCACCUGACCACACAUAACAACCUGCUACUGCUCUGGACCGCUCUCAAUGACAGAAAGGAUAAGAGGUGGCCCCACUCGUCCGAUGGCUCCUCCUACAACAUGGCUAGUGCUAUCAUUAUCGCUGCUAGCCAAUCAGACGGACUGUUUUGCCCUGCAGAAGAACUCUACUGGACCCGGCUACUUUCUUACGCCGUUCUUCUGCCACAUCCUUUUACCCUUUAUCCGUUACUGGGAAACAGAAAGAAAAGCAGAUAUCCACUGGAGUGACGUCACCCCCCAGCUCUAUGUCCAAUACAAAGAUCAGGAGGAAGGGGAAGAAAAUGGGGAAGAGGAGAAAGAAAGGGAGAAGAGAAGUGCAGGUCGUGUCCCAGUGUCCCUGUUGUCCAGAGGGCUGAAGGUGCCAGGUCUGAAGAUCUACUCUCUGUCCCUCAGAGCCUCUCACCUCGCUGGGGCCGCUUGAAGCCUUGGGAACACGCACAUCACUCACACACGGCCCCUUACCCCUCGGAACAUCACCAUUUGCAAUGUGACAGCCAGUCAGAUCACAGUAAGCUGGACGGCCCCAGACUCCCAGCAUGCUGUGCAGUGGGGCUUCCUGGUUUGCUGGGGGGAUGUAGCUUCAGGCCAGGAGAGGAGAAGGGGCGUGGCCAGCAGUUCCAGGUCGACUGUGAUUGGAGGACUGGAGGGGUUCAGGAAGUACAGGGUCAGAGUUAACUCCGUCACAGAACAUGAUGUGGCAAGUAGUGGAGGAACUGACCAUACACACUGCGCUGAACCCCCCAGGUGGUGUGUAUGUUUCUAGCAGAGGGGAGAAUCUGACAACGUGUUGGCCGACCCUGUCAGGUGCGUGUGUGUACUUCUGCCGUCACCCAGCAGUGUGAGAGAGGGCUCAGUAACAGAGUCGUCAGUAGAGAUGCUUUGGGAUCCAGCCCCUGGACAUGGACACAACUAUGAAGUCAUCUGUCUCGACUGUCAUCACACGCUUAUGGUACUUCUGUAGAGUGUGUGUGUGUGUGUUUAUAAAGUGUGUGUGCAUGUAUACUGUGUGUAUGUGGUCGAGUAUCUGUAUAAUGUGUGUGUAUGUGGUCGAUUAUCAAAUCAAGUGCCAUGUAGACUAAGAGUGAAAUGCUUACUUAAGCAGCAUUUUUUGGGCCCUUCCUAACAUUGCAAAGAGAAAACAAGAGAAAUUAUAGAAAAAUAAUAACACCAGGAAUAAAUAUCCAAUGGGUCCAAGCGUAAGGACUUCAGGAAACAGCAGAGGGAACACCCCCUUAUCCACAUCGAUGGAACAGUAGUGGAGAGGGUAGUAGGUUUUAAGUUCCUCGGCGUACACAUCACAGACAAACUGAAUUGAU
Oncorhynchus mykiss (rainbow trout) is the source of this 2394-nucleotide non-coding RNA. The record is from RefSeq and is a predicted model, not a curated record. NCBI's taxonomy places the organism in Eukaryota, Metazoa, Chordata, Actinopteri, Salmoniformes, Salmonidae.